Phoenix dactylifera (date palm) is the source of this 1852-nucleotide non-coding RNA. The record is from RefSeq and is a predicted model, not a curated record. NCBI's taxonomy places the organism in Eukaryota, Viridiplantae, Streptophyta, Magnoliopsida, Arecales, Arecaceae.
AAUUAGGUGUACGUUGUUUUCUUGCCUCACUUCUUAUUUAAUUAGGAAUCAGUUUGCGGAUCAAUUACGAUGGUGCCAAAACCAUUAGAGAUAAAAAAAUAAUUACCAUGUUAUAAUCAUCAAUUAGGCCACAGACCACAUUCUUGCCAAUUAGACCAAAGCAUACACCCUACCUUUUUUGGGCGAGACACAUGCCGGCAACGCUUGAAAUCGUGCGUACACUAGUUUGCAAGAGCCUCCAUAUCAACCGUUUAGUUUGAUUCUGGGAAUUUCUUUUGUACGCCGGAUAUGUAGCAGUUGGUUGUUCGACAGUUGAAGAGUUCGUAUCAACUUGUACUUAAUGUAUUGGUACAUUGGUAACGUAUUAAUUAUGUAGCAUGAACGAAAUCAUACUAGCGAAAGAUAUAUGUAAUUUUAAACACUUUCGCAGAAGAAGCCGGAAACUGAAUAUUGCUUGAAUAGUUUCUCGUUUCUUGACGCAUAGGCUUCAAGAAACUUGCCUCACCAAAGCACUUUGCCUAAUCUUUUUGACUCACGAGGCUCUUGAUUACGAUCCUGCCAAUAAAAUUAUAAAUAGAAUACAGUUCAUUUAUAGCAUGCAGAGGAGUGGAUUUCAUACUUGAGCCACUUGGUCAGACGUUAUCUCCUCUUCCAGCCAAUUAAGUUUAAGAGAACAUCCAAGCCAAACCGACCUCCACCAGAAAAGACAAUUAAUCGAACCACAUGAACAUUUCAUCAUCCACUAACUGCCUCUUUAAUGACGGUUGCUCGGGGUCUAGGCCAAUCCGGUCAUUUUAUAGGCCUCUAGAAAGAUCAGCGAAGACAAACAAAGAGAGACAGGGAUGGUCCAUGGGAAGGUCUACAGUAGGAGGUGGGACGCUUGUCUGCGAUACCAAGUUAUCAUCCCUUAUUUUCCGAAAAAAGUCCGAUUUAUGCGCAAUUCGGCGAAUGUGGACAGAACCAUCGGGGAAUCUUCUAGUGGAGGGUGGAUAGGAUUAUUUAAUUCUAGUGCUGCUGCCCCCAUGGAAAAACCUUGGCCUGUGGUUAUGGGAAACCCUGGUUUUAGAUUGACGAAAUUGACUCUUGGAAAAAUCUAAGGGGGGAUGAUAUCAUGGCUUAACGGAAUAGUGCCGCAGGAGACGGGUUGUUAGGUUUCUGGCACGUAGAAAGAUAUGCUGUCUUCUUUUAGCCGUAUCUUAUAUGCUUCUCAUUUUCAGAAAGGCAGAGUGAACUUAUUGUGGCCGGAGUAGCAUCGGCUAGUUCCCGCAGCAUUUGGGCUUCCAAGGGCUUAUAGCUUAAACCGUCAGCGAAGCCGGGGGUCCGGUGUUGGUAUGGUGUUACCGCGGAGGGGGAGGGGCGGCUCCAUAGGUCAAGGCAGUGGGCGGUGGAAGCCGCCAUCCACGGCACGCCAGGAAGGACCCGGGAAAGCAGCGCCAGCCGGCCAACGCGUCGCUUUCGCGCCAUCCACCGCGGCCAUCGCCCUGGGUCCCACCACCAGCCGACCUGGUUGACUCCGUGCUCGCACGUGUGUCAGAUUGUCCACGUGUGUCCUCUUUGGUGAAAAAUAAUCGCGAGGGCAUGGAUUGCCACAACUUUAGCUAGGCAUCCAUUAAACAGCAUGAAAUGGGAUGGGCAAGAUGGGCUGUGUACAUUAAUUUCUUCCAUUCUGAUGAUGUUGAUUUGAGACUAGUAUUCAUCGACCUAUUUAUUUUGCCUAGUUGAUUUGAUGGACACUGGUAACGUUUCUAACAAAACAUACCUAUCUUUGACUUUGAUGCUUUAAUAAGGGGAGUUGUAUAUAGAAAUUAGAUUACGUGCAAGACCGUCAAUUAUUAUAAGCUUAAUAUCAUAA